AACUCUCAAGUCCCUCAACAACCA
This 24-nucleotide non-coding RNA is filed under the name Arabidopsis thaliana (thale cress). Lineage: Eukaryota; Viridiplantae; Streptophyta; Magnoliopsida; Brassicales; Brassicaceae. The record is from RNAcentral.